RNAcentral lists this ribosomal RNA (600 nucleotides) under Aeribacillus pallidus. Its description in RNAcentral is "bacterial SSU rRNA". It matches the Rfam family "Bacterial small subunit ribosomal RNA", at positions 36 to 616 of the family's 1533-position model. The record is from RNAcentral. Lineage: Bacteria; Bacillati; Bacillota; Bacilli; Caryophanales; Bacillaceae.
GUAAUGACGCAUGCUAUACAUGCAGUCGAGCGGACCGAAGGGAGCUUGCUCCUUUAGGUUAGCGGCGGACGGGUGAGUAACACGUGGGCAACCUGCCCUGCAGACUGGGAUAACUUCGGGAAACCGGAGCUAAUACCGGAUAACACCGAAAACCGCAUGGUUUUCGGUUGAAAGGCGGCUUUUAGCUGUCACUGCAGGAUGGGCCCGCGGCGCAUUAGCUAGUUGGUGAGGUAACGGCUCACCAAGGCGACGAUGCGUAGCCGACCUGAGAGGGUGACCGGCCACACUGGGACUGAGACACGGCCCAAACUCCUACGGGAGGCAGCAGUAGGGAAUCUUCCGCAAUGGACGAAAGUCUGACGGAGCAACGCCGCGUGAGCGAAGAAGGUCUUCGGAUCGUAAAGCUCUGUUGUCAGGGAAGAACAAGUAUCGUUCGAACAGGGCGGUACCUUGACGGUACGUGACGAGGAAGCCACGGCUAACUACGUGCCAGCAGCCGCGGUAAUACGUAGGUGGCAAGCGUUGUCCGGAAUUAUUGGGCGUAAAGCGCGCGCAGGCGGUUCUUUAAGUCUGAGGUGAAAUCUCGCGGCCUCAACCGGC